AAAAUGCAGUGGGGCUGGUGUCUCCUAAGAAAGAAAAUGUCCUAAAUGCUCUCUUCCAUAGAAAAGGAAGACACACAGAGGAGCCCUGACUGUAUAAUAAAGGUGAAAUAUGUUAGUGCUCAAAACUUGUACUGUGCAGUGGCUGCCCAAUGGCUACAGAAGACAUCAGUAAGAAACCAACAGCCAAUUAAAUCAGAACAAAUGACUAGCUGAUCUCUAAGGUUGCUUCUGACUCUACCGUCUAAGAUUACUCAGUUACAUCGAUGGCAAAAUGAUGAAAGGAUUUGAGCCCAAACAGAACCAUAGGAAGAUUUCCUCAGGGACCAGGGCUGAUGGAGCAGCAUCCACCAUGCGAGCAGAAAGGCAAGCCUUGCAACACUCGGCCUUCAGAGCUUCAGCUUCCUGUCCAUGUGCACCUGGCUGGCCAAAGCAGUCAUAAGACCACGCCUAAUUCAAGGGAAUUGUGGGGAAGUGCAAUUCCAACAAGUGCCUGGAGGGCAAGCAAGCUGUGGAGUGCCCUGUGAACACUACAAUGUCCUUCUGACCACUACAGCCUCUUUCUAGGUUUUGCUCAUAUCUUUGCAUUAUUUCCAAAAUUCAUUUUAGUGAUAACUUAUAGUAUAGCGUAAUAUAUGUAAUUAUACAGAUAUCAUUAUAUAAAUUAUGAUAUAUAUUGUAACCAGAAGGAAACAAAACCUGGUCUCCCCAUCAAAGGACAUCUCCAGCAUUCAGCCACAUGCUUCUUGCCCAUGGUUCAAGGAGAGCAGCACAUGGCUGCUCUGCCAACCAAUGAAUGAGACUGAGCAUCGCCUCUUCUCCUCACCUUCUCAAGUCCGGUCGAAUCUUGAGCCCAGAAAUUAGAAGAGCCCAACAGCAUAAAAAGACUUUCUGCCACCUGCUUUAUUUGAGGAGGUUAAAAAAAAUUGAUCUUGGCAUCAGAGGAAUACAAGACUCAAAAGGAA
Prionailurus viverrinus (fishing cat) is the source of this 962-nucleotide long non-coding RNA. RefSeq lists it as uncharacterized. The transcript has 4 exons. The record is from RefSeq and is a predicted model, not a curated record. Lineage: Eukaryota; Metazoa; Chordata; Mammalia; Carnivora; Felidae.